Molecule: ribosomal RNA, 464 nt
Filed under: uncultured bacterium
Lineage: Bacteria
Description: partial 16S ribosomal RNA
Rfam family: Bacterial small subunit ribosomal RNA
Source: RNAcentral
CUACGGGCGGCUGCAGUGGGGAAUAUUGCACAAUGGGCGCAAGCCUGAUGCAGCCAUGCCGCGUGUAUGAAGAGGGCCUUCGGGUUGUAAAGUACUUUCAGCGGGGAGGAAGGGAGUAAAGUUAAUACCUUUGCUCAUUGACGUUACCCGCAGAAGAAGCACCGGCUAACUCCGUGCCAGCGGCCGCGGUAAUACGGAGGGUGCAAGCGUUAAUCGGAAUUACUGGGCGUAAAGCGCACGCAGGCGGUUUGUUAAGUCAGAUGUGAAAGCCCCGGGCUCAACGUGGGAACGGCAUCUGAUACUGGCAAGCUUGAGUCUCGUAGAGGGGGGUAGAAUUCCAGGUGUAGCGGUGAAAUGCGUAGAGAUCUGGAGGAAUACCGGUGGCGAAGGCGGCCCCCUGGACGAAGACUGACGCUCAGGUGCGAAAGCGUGGGGAGCAAACAGGAUUAGAUACCCUAGUAGUC